Non-coding RNA from Callithrix jacchus (white-tufted-ear marmoset), 1033 nucleotides. NCBI's taxonomy places the organism in Eukaryota, Metazoa, Chordata, Mammalia, Primates, Cebidae. The record is from RefSeq and is a predicted model, not a curated record.
CUCAACUUGCAGCUCCCAUAGUUCCCACACCCUGUGAAAGGGAUCCAAUCGGAGAUAAUUUAUCACAGGGGUGGGUCUUUCCUGUGCUCUUCUCAUGAUAGCAAAUGAAUCUCACAAGAUCUGAUGAUUUAAAAAAUGUGAGUUUCUCUGCACAGCUCUCUCUUUGCCUGCUUCCAUCUCUAUAAGCAGUGACUUGCUCCUCCUUGCCUUCCACCCUGAUUGUGAGGCUUCUCCAGCCACAUGGAACCGGCAAAGCACUUCAACUCUUUUUACGUGGAGGAUAAAUGUAUCAGCGCGGGUUGGGAAGGUGCUGGUAAGCUGUACUGGUCUCCACGAGACUUAGAGUCUCCUGCGAUUACUGACUGCCUCAUGAUCACAGAUUCAUCACAUUGUCACAGCGCAAUUCAUCACCAAGACUGAGCAACUACUAUCCAUAUGGUAUCGGAAAGUAAACAGUGAGACUGGUCAUAAGCCUCUUUUCUCUCCUAAUCAGUGCUACUCACCAAUUAAAAAAAGACAUUCUUUUUUGUGGUCCAUACUCCUGAAGGCCAAAAGCACCCAGUGGACAGACGACGGCUCUUACGCCUCCCAUGCCAAGGCAGAUGGUCAACAGUGCUACGUAAAACAGACUGUGCUGCUGCGUUUUGGGGAUGCUGUUAACAACGUGGUAUGUGCCCAGAUAGAAAUCUUCCAAGGGGAAAGCCACCACGGAUAAUAAAGCAGUGCCUGUAGGUAGAGAAAAAAGAAUAAAUAUGGCACAGCACAACUGGAUCGCCGAAUCACAUUAUACACAGGGCUUCUCCUCUGACAGCAGCAUCAUGUGUUGGGAUUUCCGUCUUGUCUGAUGACUGACCUCAGAAUUUAGACUGACAGAAACUACCACGUUAAACAAGAAGUCACCAAAUGUUACUGGUGUGGGCUGUUACCAAGGUAAGCAGAGUAAAUGAGUCUGGGGUUCGCUUAAAUGUUUUCUCAUCAGAAAGCUUUCUCUCAGCACCAAGUAGCAGCCCCGUCACUGUCCAUUCCAUCCCGU